GACGAACGCUGGCGGCGUGCUUAACACAUGCAAGUCGAACGGAAAGGCCCCGUUGUUGGUGCUCGAGCGGCGGACGGGCGCGUAAGACGUAAGUAAGCUUCCCUUCACUUUGGGACUAAUACAGGAAACUGGGGCUAAUACCGAAUAGGAAUCAUUGCUUGAUGCUGGGGGUUGGAAAGCUUCGGCCGUUUUGGAUGGACCUGCUGCUUAUCUGCUUGUUGGUUGGGUAGUGGCUUACCAAGGCUGUUACGGGCAGCCGGCCUGAGUGGGGGACCGGCCACAGUGGGACUGAGAUAAGGCCCCGGCACCUACGGGAGGGAGAAGGGGGGAAUAUUGAACUAUGGGCGGAAUGCUAGUGCAGAAAAUCCGCGGGCGGGAAGACGGUCUUUUGGUUGUAAACCGAAUUCAGCAGGGGCGAAGCUUGUAGUGACGGUACCUGCAAAAGAAGCACCGGCUAACUACGUG
This 465-nucleotide ribosomal RNA is filed under the name uncultured bacterium. RNAcentral's name for it is "partial 16S ribosomal RNA". It matches the Rfam family "Bacterial small subunit ribosomal RNA", at positions 28 to 507 of the family's 1533-position model. The record is from RNAcentral.